RNAcentral lists this long non-coding RNA (282 nucleotides) under Musa acuminata (dwarf banana). Its description in RNAcentral is "long non-coding RNA (MACU_LNC010495)". The record is from RNAcentral. Lineage: Eukaryota; Viridiplantae; Streptophyta; Magnoliopsida; Zingiberales; Musaceae.
CAUGGCAUGCCAUCAACUUAAGCCCAAAUAUAUAACGAUACAAUAAUAAUUCUUCUUUUUCUUUAUAGGCAGGUUGCUGUUUACGAUGGAAGAAAGCGAUACAAUAAUAAUUCUUCUUUUUCUUUACAGGCAGGUUGCUGUUUAUGAUGGAAGAAAGCGAUACAAUAAUAAUUCUUCUUUUUCUUUACAGGCAGGUUGCGGUUUAUGAUGGAAGAAAGCGGAGACCUGUCAGUGGCCUGGCACCGGAGAUGACAUGGGGCAGGUCGUAGUUGAUGCCCUUGA